This is a non-coding RNA of Cricetulus griseus (Chinese hamster), 1508 nucleotides long. The record is from RefSeq and is a predicted model, not a curated record. Lineage: Eukaryota; Metazoa; Chordata; Mammalia; Rodentia; Cricetidae.
GACUGCCAAGAACAGCAGUGAGUGCCGACUGGUGUUGGCCUAAACCUACAAGAGAAGCUGCAUGUUUGUGAAUGACAGACCACAAGAGGCAGAGCUGCCUAAGCUCUUUGGAGACCAGAACAUCAUGAAUAAACUUCAGAAUGGCUUACAGGCUGUGGUCCUGCUAGUCUAACAAUGGCUGUCCUUUAAUGGGAAGUCCAAGAAUCCAGUAGUUGUACAGUCUACAAGGUUGGAUGUCUCAGCUGUUCUUCAGUAUAUGCCAGAGCCCUGAAGAAGCAGGCUCUAACCUGUGAAGGAUGAAGUUGCCAGCAAGAGCAAGCAGGGAAAACAGCAAGUGCUUCCUCCUUCCAUGUUCUUCUGUACAGCCUGCCAGGAAAGGUUGUGGCCAGACUUAAAGUGGAUCUCUCCACUUCAAAAGCUCUGGAUUUAGGGUGAAUCUUCUAAUUUCAAAUCAUUCAAUCAAGAAAAAUCCCUCAUGGGUGUACGCAGCUACUCAGGGUGAAGUUGACAAUCAAGAACAGUCAUUGUAAGUUCUGUGUGGAAUUCUGCUUCACCUCCACAGGUUAAGAAGGAACUUGGCAGAAUCAACAGCAUUCCAGAAUUAUAUAGAAAUAUGAAAGAAUGUGAACAGUUGCCUGCAGUUCAGCUAUCAUGUGACCAAGACAUGAAGAGUGAUUGACAGUGAAUGGACUGGAGAUGAUAUGGGAUUAUUGACAGUCUUCUGUGCCAUUUUAAAGGGGCAGGACUUAGUUUGGAACGUAUACAAGGAUAUUGGCUGGUUUGGAGUCUGGAAAUGGCUGUUUAGAUUCCUGUUUCAAAAAGGUAUUUUCAAGCUUGCAAAGACAGACAGGAAGAAGAAACAAGUUACUUGAUCUUUAUCUUGUGAGGUAACUAUAACAGGAUUUUUACUGGCACUUUAUCUCUGGGACUGGAAAAAUAUUCCUGAAUUAAGGGAAAUCAACACAUUGUCACAGUGGAAUGUAGUUGGAAACUUCUAUCCAACCCACUUUUGGAAUCUGGUAACAGGGUUGGUUCUGAUUAGCUUUGUAUAACCGGUUGAAUAGACUUUGUACCAACCAGAAUCAGACCCUUUGAAGUAUCUUCUUUGGGUUGCUGUGAAGAUUAAAUAAGACAAUACAUGUAAAGCCCUUGUCAAAUAAGGUCUCAUCAAAUAUUAAUCAGAUGUCCAAUUUUUGUAGCAAAAAAUUCAGUAAAUACUUAUUGAAAGUUGUACAUAUAUAAAUGUAUAUGCAUGUAUUUAUGUAUGCAUAUAGAUAUAAUGUAUGCUUGCUUUUCUUUUUUUUUUUUGUAUGCUUGCUUUUUGAGAGAGAAUAAGGAUCUAGGUUGACCUAGAGCUCAUAUUUAACCCAGGCUGGCCUCCACUGCUUCACAAUUCUGCCUCAGCCUCUAGAGGGCUGGACUUACAAAUUUGAAAUACCAUGCUCAGCUAUUGUUUUUUAAUGUAUUAUUGUACAUAUGCCCAGGAAGUAAACCAACUUUGUAUUGAA